AAAUUGAAGAGUUUGAUCAUGGCUCAGAUUGAACGCUGGCGGCAGGCCUAACACAUGCAAGUCGAACGGUAACAGGAAACAGCUUGCUGUUUCGCUGACGAGUGGCGGACGGGUGAGUAAUGUCUGGGAAACUGCCUGAUGGAGGGGGAUAACUACUGGAAACGGUAGCUAAUACCGCAUAACGUCGCAAGACCAAAGAGGGGGACCUUCGGGCCUCUUGCCAUCGGAUGUGCCCAGAUGGGAUUAGCUWGUWGGUGGGGUAACGGCUCACCWAGGCGACGAUCCCUAGCUGGUCUGAGAGGAUGACCAGCCACACUGGAACUGAGACACGGUCCAGACUCCUACGGGAGGCAGCAGUGGGGAAUAUUGCACAAUGGGCGCAAGCCUGAUGCAGCCAUGCCGCGUGUAUGAAGAAGGCCUUCGGGUUGUAAA
This 432-nucleotide ribosomal RNA is filed under the name Escherichia coli. RNAcentral's name for it is "bacterial SSU rRNA". It matches the Rfam family "Bacterial small subunit ribosomal RNA", at positions 1 to 429 of the family's 1533-position model. Lineage: Bacteria; Pseudomonadati; Pseudomonadota; Gammaproteobacteria; Enterobacterales; Enterobacteriaceae. The record is from RNAcentral.